Molecule: transfer RNA, 85 nt
Filed under: Candidatus Staskawiczbacteria bacterium RIFCSPHIGHO2_01_FULL_36_16
Lineage: Bacteria; Candidatus Staskawicziibacteriota
Description: tRNA-Leu
Rfam family: tRNA
About the family: Transfer RNA (tRNA) molecules are approximately 80 nucleotides in length. Their secondary structure includes four short double-helical elements and three loops (D, anti-codon, and T loops).
Source: RNAcentral
GCUCCUGUGGCGGAAUUGGAAUACGCGCUGCGCUUAGGACGCAGUCCCGCAAGGGUUAGAGGUUCGAGUCCUCUCAGGAGCACAA